AGAGUUUGAUCCUGGCUCAGGAUGAACGCUGGCGGCGUGCCUAACACAUGCAAGUCGAGCGAGGACUUCGGUCCUAGCGGCGGACGGGUGAGUAACGCGUGGGUAAUCUGCCUCAUACACAUAACGCGUGGGUAAUCUGCCUCAUACACACGGAUAACGUACCGAAAGGUACGCUAAUACGAGAUAAUAUUAAGAAAUGGCAUCAUUUCUUAAUCAAAGAAUUUCGGUAUGAGAUGAGCCCGCGUCCCAUUAGCUAGUUGGUAAGGUAAAAGCUUACCAAGGCGACGAUGGGUAGCCGACCUGAGAGGGUGAUCGGCCACACUGGAACUGAGACACGGUCCAGACUCCUACGGGAGGCAGCAGUGGGGAAUAUUGCACAAUGGGCGAAAGCCUGAUGCAGCAACGCCGCGUGAGCGAUGAAGGUCUUCGGAUCGUAAAGCUCUGUCCUCAAGGAAGAAUUUUGACGGUACUUGAGGAGGAAGCCCCGGCUAACUACGUGCCAGCAGCCGCGGUAAUACGUAGGGGGCUAGCGUUAUCCGGAAUUAUUGGGCGUAACGGGAGUGUAGGUGGCUUGAUAAGUCACAUGUGAAAGCCCACGGCUUAACCGUGGAAGGCAUGUGAUACUGUUGAGCUUGAGUGUAGGAGAGGUGAGUGGAAUUCCUAGUGUAGCGGUAGAAUGCGUAGAGAUUAGGAGGAACACCAGAGGCGAAGGCGACUCACUGGACUAUAACUGACACUGAGACUCGAAAGCGUGGGGAGCAAACAGGAUUAGAUACCCUGGUAGUCCACGCCCUAAACGAUGGAUACUAGAUGUGGGGAGUAUCGACUCUUCCCGUGUCGUAGCUAACGCGUUAAGUAUCCCGCCUGGAGUACGGUCGCAAGAUUAAAACUCAAAGGAAUUGACGGGACCCCGCACAAGCAGCGGAGCAUGUCGUUUAAUUCGAAGCAACGCGAAGAACCUUACCAAGGCUUGACAUUAGAUGCAUAGUAUGUUAAUCGGAGCCUUCCCUUCGGGGAUUGAGGUGACAGAUGGUGCAUGGUUGUCGUCAGCUCGUGUCGUGAGAUGUUGGGUUAAGUCCCGCAACGAGCGCAACCCUUGUCGUUAGUUACCAGCACGUAAUGGUGGGAACUCUAGCGAGACUGCCGUUGAUAAAACGGAGGAAGGUGGGGAUGACGUCAAAUCAUCAUGCCUCUUAUGUUUAGGGCUACACACGUGCUACAAUGGCUGGUGCAGAGGGCUGCGAAACCGUGAGGUUAAGCCAAUCCCUUAAAGCCGUUCUCAGUUCGGAUUGUAGGCUGAAACUCGCCUACAUGAAGCUGGAGUUGCUAGUAAUCGCGGAUCAGAAUGCCGCGGUGAAUGCGUUCCCGGGUCUUGUACACACCGCCCGUCACACCACGGGAGUCGGGGGCACCCGAGGCCAGCUUUCUAACCUUUUGGAAGAAGCUGUCGAGGGUGAAAUCGAUGACUGGGGUGAAGUCGUAACAAGGUAACC
RNAcentral lists this ribosomal RNA (1493 nucleotides) under uncultured bacterium. Its description in RNAcentral is "16S ribosomal RNA". It matches the Rfam family "Bacterial small subunit ribosomal RNA". The record is from RNAcentral.